GUGUUUGCGCAUACACUAAAAUUGGAACAAUACAGAAAAGAUCACAUGGCCCCUGAGCACAGAUGACAUGGAAACUUAUGAAGCAGCCUGUAUUUUU
This is a small nuclear RNA of Mustela putorius furo (domestic ferret), 97 nucleotides long. The record is from Ensembl. Lineage: Eukaryota; Metazoa; Chordata; Mammalia; Carnivora; Mustelidae.